GAUGAAGAACGUAGUGAAAUGCGAUAAGUAGUGUGAAUUGCAGAAUUCAGUGAAUCAUCGAAUCUUUGAACGCACAUUGCGCCCCUUGGUAUUCCAUGGGGCAUGCCUGUUCGAGAGUCAUUUACACCCUCAAGCUCAGCUUGGUGUUGGGCGUCUGUCCCGCUUCGUGCGUGGACUCGCCCCAAAGGUAUUGGCAGCGGUCCUUGCCAGCUUCUCGCGCAGCACAUUGCGCUUCUCGAGGCUGGCGGAUCGGCGUCCAUCAAGCCCACUUCCACAGUUUGACCUCGGAUCAGGUAGGGAUACCCGCUGAACUUAAGCAUAUCAAUAAGCGGAGGA
RNAcentral lists this unclassified non-coding RNA (336 nucleotides) under soil metagenome. Its description in RNAcentral is "partial contains 5.8S ribosomal RNA, internal transcribed spacer 2, and large subunit ribosomal RNA". The stretch from base 1 to 120 matches the Rfam family "5.8S ribosomal RNA", at positions 35 to 154 of the family's 154-position model. The record is from RNAcentral.